Molecule: long non-coding RNA, 736 nt
Filed under: Phoenix dactylifera (date palm)
Lineage: Eukaryota; Viridiplantae; Streptophyta; Magnoliopsida; Arecales; Arecaceae
Description: long non-coding RNA (PDAC_LNC018809)
Source: RNAcentral
AGACACACCAAUGGACUAGACCCAACCUGAUUUCAUCUUUGUCCAAUCCUAGUUCUAGUUCAUACCUAGCCAGUUUGAACCAACAGAGCAAAUACUAUAUUCGGGCCCAAUUUUUCAUGAGAGAGAAUGUGUGCUUGAAUUAGACCUAGCCCAUUAGACAUCUGUCUUAGAGGCCCAGCUUGAUAGACACCUAACCCCGCAUGGACAGAAGUCCAUGUGUAUGCAAAUAGCAUGGUUGUUUGCCCCAUGAUCCUUACAUUUUAAGUUGCAACUACAAGUUCUGGCUGUCCGCAUUUUUUGCUCUCAUAAGUGGAAGAAGUGGGAGUACUUGGAAAAGAAGUGAUAUUUGUGACCAUCAUGGACCAGAGUCCAUAUCAUUCAUGUCAUAUGAGACAAGAGGAGAGAGCACAUAAAGGAUGGGUAUGCCCUGACACUUCCAAUUAGAUUGUUAUUCAUCAUGCAAACAAAUGGUUGAUGUAAGGGUAAGGAGUAUUUCCUUUUUAAAGCAUGAUAUAGUCGUAUCAAUUACUAUCAAUUUAUAGAUGCAAUGCAUGCAAUUGAUGGGUGACAAAGGAUUGUACUCUCAUAAAUUUAGAUAAAAUGCAUUGAAAAAGAAUACAAGGGAUGAAAUAGAAUUUGGGUGAUAGCUGUUACUUAAAAAAGUGGGGAAAAUAAUUCUCUUGAUAGACGUUAUAGACAUGUAAAUGUUACGAUAACCCUUGAUCUGUUUGCCCAC